GGCUUCGUGGCCGAAUGGAUAAGGCGUUUGUCUACGAAAUCAGAGAUACUGGGUUUGAUCCCCAGCGGGGCCA
Molecule: transfer RNA, 73 nt
Filed under: Ipomoea nil (Japanese morning glory)
Lineage: Eukaryota; Viridiplantae; Streptophyta; Magnoliopsida; Solanales; Convolvulaceae
Rfam family: tRNA
About the family: Transfer RNA (tRNA) molecules are approximately 80 nucleotides in length. Their secondary structure includes four short double-helical elements and three loops (D, anti-codon, and T loops).
Source: Rfam by way of RNAcentral